Long non-coding RNA from Haliotis rubra (blacklip abalone), 1380 nucleotides. RefSeq lists it as uncharacterized. The record is from RefSeq and is a predicted model, not a curated record. The transcript is spliced from 2 exons. Lineage: Eukaryota; Metazoa; Mollusca; Gastropoda; Lepetellida; Haliotidae.
CAAAAAGAACAUAUGAUGCCACAGAGACGUCUUGAUGCCAAACAGCAAAUUUAAUGAAUCUUUUAUUAUGAAGUCAAAUUGUAGGUUAUUAAUAUUUAUAAGUCUCUACUGCAUUUUAUCAAUGUUAUUUUUCACUAUAUUUUUAUAGAUUGUUUUUGUUGAUAAUCACAUGAAUAUAAUACACAAUUCAUAAAAAGAGCAUUGAUGAAUUCAGGUUUUGCUUUCACAGCUUAAAGAAUAAGGGCAAUCUGACUGCAUUUUGGAACUGUGAUGUAUAAUCAUGACAACUGUCUUUACCGUUUACUGGUACAUGAUUGUUUUGCAUUGAACAAUUUGUAUUAUUUAUGAAUGAAUUGUUAUGUAUGAUGCAACGAUAACAAAAUGGCUGACAACAGUUUUGAAGGGAUUGUCUAGUCUGACUAUCUGACUCAGCUGAUUGUGUCAUGGUUCCCAUGAUAUCAACCACUUGUUUGACUGGUCCAGAGCUGGUUAUUUACAGCUGUGAUGGAGCUGGAAUAUUGCAGAAUGCUCACUGACUUCACUCACUUUAACCUCCUCUUUUCUAUAAUCAUCUGUUCACUUAAAAAAAAUUUGAUUUGAAUUUUCAAAGUUGACAUUAUUUUGAUUUAAAUCUAUCGAGGUUAUGAAAUACCUACCUGGCAUUAUUAACAUUCUGACAAUCAUAUUGCAUCUAUCCAACGUGAUGUUUUGAAGCUUUUCACAAUCACUGGAGCUAUGUGAAGAAAAGCAUUGAUUUAUUGGCUGGAUAUCAUAAAAUAGAGGCAGUUAUGGGAAUGACUGCUACUAGCAGAUUGGUUAGAGGAAGAACCCAUUACUCCCACAUAGUUUAGAGGAAGAACCAUUACUAGAAGAUUAGUUAGAGGAAGAACAGUUACUAGUACAUAGGUUAGAGGAAGAACCAUUACUAGAAGAUUGGUUAGAGGAAGAACAGUUACUAGUACAUAUAGAGGGAAAAACAACACUGAUACAUUUCUGGUGACCCCCUGCCGUGAUAUUGCUGAAAUAUUUCAAAAGCGGCAUAGACAAAACUGAACUCACUCACUUCUGAAAACUUUAUGAACAUCAGAGACCCCUGUAAAAGUUAUCGACUUGUCUGUAAUGUUUUUCUGUAUUGAACAGUCGAGCAAGGAAGACAUCUUUAUGACAACAUCAGCAUCCUUGCCUUCAGUUCUUUGCUCAUCCAAACAUGCUCACUGACUUUAACCUCCUCUUUUCUACAAUCAUCUGUUCACUUACGAUAUUUUCAAUUUGAUUUUACAAAGCUGACACUCUUUUAAUUUAAAUCUAUCCAGCAGGGCUCCAGAUAAGGUCCGUAUCGGCGUAUGUACGGAUGAAAAAUACGCACGAUACGGUUGGAAA